AAUGUAGUGCCUGAUUAAAGGGUUAUUUUGAUAGAAUAAAUCAAGUAUAUUUAUACCUACAUUA
Molecule: transfer RNA, 64 nt
Filed under: Eusphalerum torquatum
Lineage: Eukaryota; Metazoa; Arthropoda; Insecta; Coleoptera; Staphylinidae
Description: tRNA-Ile
Source: RNAcentral